AACGUACGCUGGCGGCACGCCUAACACAUGCAAGUCGAACGAAGUAGCAAUACUUAGUGGCAGACGGGUGAGUAACAUGUAGGUAUCUGCCCUUUGGCCUGGAAUAACACGAGGAAACUUGUGCUAAUACCGGAUAAGUCUUUACGGAGAAAGCUUUAUGCACCAUUGGAUGAGCCUGCACUUGAUUAGUUUGUUGGUGGGGUAAUGGCCUACCAAGACUGUGAUCAAUAGCUGAUUUGAGAGGAUGAUCAGCCACAUUGGGACUGAGACACGGCCCAAACUCCUACGGGAGGCAGCAGUGGGGAAUCUUGCACAAUGGAGGAAACUCUGAUGCAGCGAUGCCGCGUGAGUGAAGAAGGCCCUUGGGUUGUAAAGCUCUUUCGUCGGGGAAGAAAAUGACUGUACCCGAAUAAGAAGGUCCGGCUAACUUCGUGCCAGCAGCCGCGGUAAUACGAAGGGACCUAGCGUAGUUCGGAAUUACUGGGCUUAAAGAGUUCGUAGGUGGUUGAAAAAGUUAGUGGUGAAAUCCCAGAGCUUAACUCUGGAACUGCCAUUAAAACUUUUCAGCUAGAGUAUGAUAGAGGAAAGCAGAAUUUCUAGUGUAGAGGUGAAAUUCGUAGAUAUUAGAAAGAAUACCAAUUGCGAAGGCAGCUUUCUGGAUCAUUACUGACACUGAGGGACGAAAGCAUGGGUAGCGAAGAGGAUUAGAUACCCUCGUAGUCCAUGCCGUAAACGAUGUGUGUUAGACGUUGGAAAUUUAUUUUCAGUGUCGCAGGGAAACCGAUAAACACACCGCCUGGGGAGUACGACCGCAAGGUUAAAACUCAAAUGAAUUGACGGGGACCCGCACAAGUAGUGGAGCAUGUGGUUUAAUUCGAAGAUACGCGCAGAACCUUACCAACACUUGACAUGUUCGUCGCGACUCUAAGAGAUUAGAGUUUUCGGUUCGGCCGGACGAAACACAGGUGCUGCAUGGCUGUCGUCAGCUCGUGUCGUGAGAUGUUGGGUUAAGUCCCGCAACGAGCGCAACCCUCACUUUUAGUUGCCAUCAUUAAGUUGGGCACUCUGAAAGAACUGCCAGUGAUAAGCUGGAGGAAGGUGGGGAUGACGUCAAGUCCUCAUGGCCCUUACGUGUUGGGCUACACACGUGCUACAAUGGUAUCUACAACAGGAAGCAAGACUGCGAAGUUAAGCAAAUCCCUAAAAGAUACCUCAGUUCGGAUUGCACUCUGCAACUCGAGUGCAUGAAGCUGGAAUUACUAGUAAUCGUGGAUCAGCGUGCCACGGUGAAUGCGUUCCCGGGUCU
Molecule: ribosomal RNA, 1306 nt
Filed under: uncultured bacterium
Lineage: Bacteria
Description: bacterial SSU rRNA
Rfam family: Bacterial small subunit ribosomal RNA
Source: RNAcentral